AUACGGAGGGUGCAAGCGUUACUCGGAAUCACUGGGCGUAAAGCGCGCGCAGGCGGUCUUUUAAGUUGGAUGUGAAAGCCUACGGCUCAACCGUAGAACUGCAUCCAAAACUAUUAGACUAGAGUGUGGGAGAGGAAGAUGGAAUUAGUUGUGUAGGGGUAAAAUCCGUAGAGAUAACUAGGAAUACCAAAAGCGAAGGCAAUCUUCUGGAACACUACUGACGCGGAGGCGCGAAAGCGUGGGGAGCAAACAGGAGUAGAAACCCUAGUAGUCC
Molecule: ribosomal RNA, 274 nt
Filed under: uncultured bacterium
Lineage: Bacteria
Description: partial 16S ribosomal RNA
Rfam family: Bacterial small subunit ribosomal RNA
Source: RNAcentral